CCCAGCACCCAUAUCACCCUGCUGCCCAAGACCAGUUACUCACUGAAGCUAAGCAGGGCUGAGCCUGGUCAGUACCUGGAUGGGGGACCACAUGGGAAAACUAGGUUGCUGUUGGAA
RNAcentral lists this ribosomal RNA (117 nucleotides) under Danio rerio (zebrafish). The record is from RNAcentral. Lineage: Eukaryota; Metazoa; Chordata; Actinopteri; Cypriniformes; Danionidae.